This 65-nucleotide transfer RNA is filed under the name Dianemobius furumagiensis. RNAcentral describes it as "tRNA-Trp". The record is from RNAcentral. Lineage: Eukaryota; Metazoa; Arthropoda; Insecta; Orthoptera; Trigonidiidae.
AAGGUUUUAAGUUAAUCAAACUAAUAGCCUUCAAAGCUAUAAAUAAAAUAUUAUUUUAAGCCUUA